Homo sapiens (human) is the source of this 1373-nucleotide long non-coding RNA. Ensembl annotates it as long intergenic non-protein coding RNA 1712. The record is from Ensembl. Lineage: Eukaryota; Metazoa; Chordata; Mammalia; Primates; Hominidae.
GAGACAACAGCUCUGCUAAGUGCCCUUGAGAGGGCACGGUGGGGUCAGCACCAAAGUCAGACCACUAAAGAGAAAAAGAGAGAAAGACAGGAUUGCAGAGGAGAAAUGAGAAUGGCAGAAAAAAUAAUUUUUUAAGCCAAAAGGAAUCAGAGAAGAGCAGAAGUGCCUCUAGGAUAAAGCGUAGCAGGCAGUUAGGGAAAAAGGGCUGUUAACUACCUUGAAGCUCUGACUACAUUAGAAAGCCUCGCAAGACAGUCGUUGCUUGCACGGGCAGGUAGAGAACUUUUCCUGUCCAUUGUUCUUCUGAAUUAUAAAUCACUGACCUCUUUAUGAUUUCUAAAGGGAAAAUGACUUCAAGCUUCUUAGAGUUCCCCUAAGGCAUUCUCUAUAUUCAAUAUAAUAUGGGAAGCCCUGGGUUUGUCUUUGUAUGUUUCAUCUGCAGUGACCUGAAAUCUUCAUAACCCUCUUCCUUUCUCCACUUAUCAACUAAGGGGUGGUUGGCAAUAAGGAUGGGUGGGAGAGAAAAAAAAACAGAAUUUGAGGAGGAGAGCAUUUAAACCAUCAGACUGUGUGUUCUGUGACAUCAAAGACUGGCAACAUUCUAAAGGAAAAGCAGCUGUGAAGUCAUAAUUAUGUUCACUUCCCACUGGCAACUGGCAAGCCCUUUAUUUUUGUGCAUUCGGAACUCACCAAGAAUAAAUAAAGUCCAUUCCCUCCUUGAGGGGCUAUUCUGCCAUUCCAUCUAGGAUUUAAAAGUUUGCCAAUUCCUAAAACAUCUAUUGUUAUCAAUAGUCUUGUGUCUUUCACAAAGCGGACUUUACAAAAUAAGUUAACAGGCCAUGAGAGGAACAGUCACACAUACCAAGAAAGGUACAUACGGAGAUAAUUCCAAUCAAAGUGAGCACAGCCUACGCAUAAACAGGAUUUUCCAAGAAAAAAGCAUUAAAGUGCCAUAGAAUAUUAAAGAGCAAUUAAAAGAAUGAAGAUCUCUUCAUAUGCUGGAUAGGCGGAGUGACCCAGCAAUCAUAUGGACACCAUCCAUUCCAGUGACACUCAAACUUCAGCGUGCAUCAGAAUCCCUGCAAGGCUUGCUAAGACACAGACUGCUGCGCCUACCUCAGAGUUCCUGAUUCAUCAAGCUUGAAGUAAGGCCUGAGAUUUUUGCAUUACUAACAAGUCUUCAGGUGAUACCAAUGCUGCUGAUCUGGAGACUGCCUUUGAGAGCCACUAUUCUAUCUCUUUCCCAAUCAACUGUCCUUUCUCACCUCCCUUUUAAAUCUCCAGCACCUGCUCCCUCAUGUUUACUCUCAAUGCACAAUCUUUUUUUCUCCUUCACUGACAGAAGUGAAACAAUUAAAAGAGAAUUUCCCCAG